AACGCACAUUGCGCCCGCCAGUAUUCUGGCGGGCAUGCCUGUUCGAGCGUCAUUUCAACCAUCAAGCCCCAGGCUUGUGUUGGGGACCUGCGGCUGCCGCAGGCCCUGAAAACCAGUGGCGGGCUCGCUGUCACACCGGGCGUAGUAGAUUUUAUCUCGCUCAGGGCGUGCUGCGGGUUCCGGCCGUUAAAAAGCCUUUUUUACCCAAGGUUGACCUCGGAUCAGGUAGGAAUACCCGCUGAACUUAA
This 248-nucleotide unclassified non-coding RNA is filed under the name uncultured Chaetomiaceae. Its description in RNAcentral is "sequence contains ITS2". The stretch from base 1 to 52 matches the Rfam family "5.8S ribosomal RNA", at positions 103 to 154 of the family's 154-position model. The record is from RNAcentral. Lineage: Eukaryota; Fungi; Ascomycota; Sordariomycetes; Sordariales.